UGUAAGCUCACUUUUCCUCUAAUGUGGAAUAAGAUCAUGACAUCAAUAAAUAUGAGAUGCUCCUACCUUUCAUUUUUUCUGAUUAUAUGCUUGUAGAUCUGAAGUUGAUUAUGUUAGGCUAAGAUUUACCUUCUUUAUUAUCGAUAAUUGAGGUUGGCAAAAUAGUCUCAAACUUUUUUGUUCAAACAUUACAUAUUCUGAGAUGUUUGGAUGUUUCAAAACUCCAUGGACAUGCAGAAGAGAAAUGCUAUCCCCACUCGGACCAAGACAAAACUUUUACUUGUUCAAAUAACAAUUAAGGUGAAGCAGGGUCAAGAACGACGAAUCUCCCGUUUCUUCAAAACUCUUCUUUCAAAGUCUUUUAAGAAAGUCGAAGAUUUUUGGGCUUUUUUGCUCCUGCUUGUAGUAGUCCAAUUGGAUACAGAUUAGCCAAAAGCAAGCAGGUGAUAGACAUACCUGCUUGAGGACCAGAGGAGGUAGAUUACUGUUGUGGUUCUUAAGAUGGUAUUUCCUGUGAUAAUGUUGGAACCCUAAAGGAUAUAUAUUGUUUAUGUGAAAAGGUAAAGAAAUGAACUUUAAUACCUGGUCAGCUAAAAAAAAGUUCUUACAAUGCUCUUGUUGAUAAAAGUAAUGUGAUACUCUUUAGUUUUUUAGCUGAAGCUGCCUUUGACUAACAAUUCUGUUCUAUUUGGCAAAACAUGUGCUUGGCAACUAGGUGAUUUGAAAUUUAAUGCGAACAUAAAUCUAAGUUCAGCUUUCUAAUUGUGGACUUCUUAACUCUAAUCAUCAAAUUAUUAUAGAGUAGUAGUAGUAGUACCAUUGUCUAGGCAAGAAAUAAACUAUGAUGUGUUACACAUCAAUAUCAGAUUUACAGUGAUUUAAAAAAUUUUACAUGUGAAUAAAAGGUUGUGAAAUUUGAGAAAUCUUAUGAGUGCAUUGAAUUACGAGAAUACGCCAUAAGAGGUUAACUUACGAGAAAUUUUGGAACUUUUGCAAUGCAUUGUCCAAUAUAGAAGCUUAUAUCAUACACCAGAUAUAAGACAAUGGGCAAGAAAGGGUCAUAAAUUAUAUGCAACUUCAUUGAAGAGGAUGUUAGGAAGACAUGAAAAUAUUGAAGGUAAAUACUGUGUAUAUAAUUGAUUGUUGCUACUUGUGUUGAUACAGUACCUGAAAUCUAUUCUGCUCUGGGAUCUGAUAAAGAGUAAUGGGGAUGUUUGGCAUAAGUUUUUAAUUCAUUUUGGGACUUGAAAUUGGUGAUCUUCUCGCACUUUUUUUGUUGCUACAGUAUCAUUCGUAUUCUAUUUUGUUUUGCAUAUAUGUGGUAAAGCACCUAAAAUAUUUGAUUUUCUUUUCUAGCCUGGUUUUGCAAGAGCGAAAAUUUGGUGCAGCUUACCACAGUUUGAAGCCUCUAAUAGAAUUCAUUACAUUUAAAUUUGCAUACAUUGUUGGACCUUUUUUUAAAACUUUGUUUUCAUACUCCUUUAUUUUUAAUUAUUAUGGACAAAAAUAUGUGAAAUCACCUAUCAAAUUCACUAAUAAAUUAAGUA
Nicotiana tabacum (common tobacco) is the source of this 1547-nucleotide long non-coding RNA. RefSeq lists it as uncharacterized. Lineage: Eukaryota; Viridiplantae; Streptophyta; Magnoliopsida; Solanales; Solanaceae. The record is from RefSeq and is a predicted model, not a curated record.